Long non-coding RNA from Larimichthys crocea (large yellow croaker), 241 nucleotides. RefSeq lists it as uncharacterized. Lineage: Eukaryota; Metazoa; Chordata; Actinopteri; Sciaenidae. The transcript is spliced from 3 exons. The record is from RefSeq and is a predicted model, not a curated record.
GUUCUGUCGUCGCACCCAAGCCGUUCCUGGUUCCAAGCCUGUUUCACGUUUCUUGUCUACUACAGCCCAGGUCGCCCUCAUGGAUAAAUCGUCUUUACCCAGACGUUGUGGAGUGAUUGACAGCUGAGCGCUUAAAUGAAAGGGUUUGACUGAUGCAACUCAGAACCUGCUGACUAAUUGGUCCAUCACUGAGUUCAUCGGGAAUGCUGCUUCAGAUCUCGUCUAUUUACCUAUGGCCCAG